RNAcentral lists this long non-coding RNA (18543 nucleotides) under Setaria italica (foxtail millet). RNAcentral's name for it is "long non-coding RNA (SITA_LNC001580)". The record is from RNAcentral. Lineage: Eukaryota; Viridiplantae; Streptophyta; Magnoliopsida; Poales; Poaceae.
GAUUUUCCAACGCAUCGAUCAACAGAAUUCAUUGAAGAAAAGGAGCACGCCUGAAGCAAGCGCGCGCGUGCUUAUAAUUAGUUUAUAUGUAAUUCGGCAAAUCUGAGCCUAUAAAAGGCCCACCCAAGUACUCACCUAGCAUCGAUCGCACAUCCAGCUUGCCAACAUACACAACACACUAGCAUUAUUAUCGCAAUACUGUAGCUUUUUCCCCAUUGUUCGUGGUCCAAUUCGCUUUUUCCAACGAGCAACUCUUGGGAAAAUCCUGCAAGCUUGUGUCAUACUCCAUAACAUGGCAGUUCAGGAUGAGAAAGACAUGGCAAGUACUUGUUCUGAACCAGAUGAAGCUUCAGGUAUAACGGCUGUUUUACCAUCAAACAUCAAAACUGGGCCUGCCCAUUGCUUAACUAAUGUACUCCAGAGAAGUGCCCCUGUUUGUAGUCAAGCAACACAUGGCCAGCUAACAAGGGAUUUAACUGAGCAUAUCUGGCAGCAGUUUGGGCCAUUUGGCGACAAGUAAAAAAGAUCUAGUAUUAGUGUACGAAGUCAUGUCGCUUGGUGGGUCACUAGUACGUAUCUUGUCCUAGUUAUCUAUUUAAAAUUCAUGUUGUUUAACUUCAUUUGUAAGUAGCUAAGCUAUGUUGAAUUUUUGCAUUUGCAUCUUGAAAAGGAUUAGGUUUGGAAAUUAAUUCAAACUGGACCUUGAAACUGGAUAAAUUUAAAUAACUUUAAUGCUGAUCAUUCUUCAAGGUUUGCUUUCAAGCAAAUCAGGUCAAAUUGUUCUGUCAGGUGUGCUCGAUCUCUAAUUUGAGUAUUAGUGCCCCUUCUCGGAUGUAGAGAAACACAUUCAACCAAAGCACACUAGCUUAUGUUGAUAUCUUUGAUGCUUCCAACUGGGGAAAAGGAAGAUACAUGUUUAUAUAUUAUUAUUAUCUCCUGCAGUGCUGGUUAUCCAUCAAUUUUUUUGACAUCUAUGUGCUGCAUCAUAUAUAAGACAGAAAAGGCUAGAUUACUUCUUCAGUAACAAUAAUAAUCUUUUAAAAAGUGUAGCCUUUCACUAGUCUUUCAUGUGCUGUUAUGAAAAUUAUCAAAUUGUGCAAGAGAGCAUUACGUUGCUUGUAUUAAGAUCGUUGUUAUUGCCAUUGUCUUGUGCAGGCUAUAAUUAGCUGUAUAAACAGCUUUUUUUGGGGGAAAAAAAGGCUGAUUGGCAGGAUAUAAUCGUAGAGAGACUUUUGAAUUGUGAGGUACCAUUACGAGCUCAAUAUAUACGAGUGUUAUUCUGUUCGUUGAAAUUGUUCGUUUGGAAAUUUCCCAAAAAGCUAAUUAUACAAUAGGGCCGUUAUGCUUAUUACUAAACUUGUUGAAGAGAUGAAAUAGAACCAAGGUCUAUCUUUUUGACUUCAAUCGGAACUUCUCUUGACCCAACGACGCGUUGAUCUAGUUUCCAUCGGAGCCACAAGGAACUGUUUAAACUGAUUCGUUUCUGUCUAUAAGCUCCCAGUGCAUCAUAGGAACUAGAAGUGGGAGAGAGGGGAUGUGAUGAUUGAGGUUUUGAAUAAGACGGAUUUUUGUGAGAGAACCAAAUCCAAAUUGGUGAAGAUCAUGAUUUGGGCUGGCAUAGUAGUUAUUACCUUUGCAAUUGCGGUUCGAAUCUAUCCUAUCUUUAUCUUUUUGCUCAAAGAACGAAUAAAACCCCUUGUUGAAGCCCUUUAUGAUAAGCUUCCCUGGAUCUGGGAAGUUUCUCUUUCACGGUAUUGGGUUGUAGGUUUUUUUUCUACCAAUGGGGACUUUCCCUGCACCGCCCCCAUGGGGGUGCUCCACAGGUUCAUAACUACCCCUCUUACUACGAGGCGUUUACCUAGCCCUUGGGGUGCGUAUUGUUUGUUGACCAUAACUAAUGAACCCAGUUAUCAUAGGGAACAUAUACUUUGUAUCGACUAAAAUAUAUACUUCGACUUUCAUGUGCUAGAACUUUAGCUCGUAAACAUAAAAGUAGGGUACGAACUGUUAUGCAACGAUUGGGUUCGGUAUUUUUAGAAGAAUUUUUGAGACGUGGCAUCUGACUGAACUAUCAAUUCUGCCACUGGAAAUUGGGUGGAAAAAACAAAUGUCUUAUUUUUUCUGUAAGAGAUAGCGUUAUUCUUCAAAGGAAUCUUCAAUCUGCACAAGGAACUCUGUACCCUUCCUGUAGUCUAUUCUAUAAAGAUUUCACUAAACCAUCAUGCUUCUGAAGUAAAGGAUCCUCUUCUUCUCCUAGCUGUUUAGCCUGCCAUACCUGAGUUAUCUGGUACAACUGAACAUUGGGAUAAGGCUGAAGGGUACAGGUCUGAUUUUGUUCUCUUCUAGCUAGACACCAAAAUUAUGCAUGAUAUUUUGUUAGAACUUGUAGUGGUAUCUAGCCCCUGUGGUCACAUAUUUUGUUGAGGUCUGAUUUUGGUUCUCUUCUGGCUUGUAUCACACGAAAGAUGCUGUAUUCGUACAUCUCGUCCAAGGGCAGAAUUACACACGGCUCAUUUCACGGUAGAUGGCCCAUGGAGCAGGGCUUGCUUACAACAUGCACACAUUCAGACACCUGUAAGUUUUAAUUCCAAUGAGCUUAUCAAUGCGGAUUUGAAGCAAUAUUGGUUGCUGGCAUCAAGGAAAUGCGUUCCACUACCACUACGUGCUAAGUUAGCCCAGAAAUCAAGAAUGGACCAAAAUAUUGAUUAGCUUGGCUAACCUUUUGUCAACACUUGAGAUUUUGCAUUUUGGCUCCAGCUAUAGGUGUCCGAUCGAGCAGGCCGGCAUAGCUGGCUACCUCGUGUUUCAUUUUUAUUGUGACGAUUAUUGCCAAUCUUGUUGCAAAGGAACGGAUGGAGUAUUUGCUAAACUAUGUAUACUAUUGCUAGGCAUAAUUGCAAUUGCAACUCGAGGCACAUGGGAUGGGACUCGAAGAGUGGACUUUGAUAUAUAACCUAUAAAAGGAGCACGCCUGAAGCAAGCAAGCGCGUGCUUAUAAUUAGUUUAUAUGUAAUUUGGCAAAUCUGAGCCUAUAAAAGGCCCACCCACGUACUCACCUAGCAUCGAUCGCACAUCCAGCUUGCCAACAUACACAACACACUAGCAUUAUUAUCGCCAUACGUACAGUAGCAACACACGUACAAAAUUCAAAGAUGGCCAAGCCCUGGAAGCAGCAGGCCCUGAUUCUGGUGGCGGCGCUGCUCCUGGGGCUCUCGCUGCCAGUGCCAGGCAGCGCAGCCCCGCUGGAGGAAGCUUGUUCCAGGGGUCUUGAGCAGGUUGAUUUCAUCACCAAGGGCCCAUCAUGUACCAAACCCGUAUUGAAUCGCUUCGGUUUAAUUGAUGGCACCUCUGAGGAAGAUGUUGGAAAGUGCUGUGACAUGCUACUAGGUGUCAUUGUUCUAUCCAGCGGAAAGCAAGACUGCGCUUGCAGUCUUCUGAAGGCAUUUGCGCAGGAGAAGAUCGACGUCGCUAGAGUAUGCAAGCAGCUUCGUAUGACCAAAGAAAAGUGCCAGGCUAAGGAGGAUGCCGAGAAGGCAAAGGCGGAUACUUCCUUCCUUUCCUUUUUUUUAUAAUUGCUUCCUUGUUUAAUUUAUUUGCGGUUUCAAAUGGUGUGGUGUUUGUUUGUUGGACUAUUCAGCUUGCUAGUUUGAGUUGAUUAUUAUUGUUUUUUGUAACUUGCAUUGUUAUGAACCCGGGCCCCUCUAUGAUAUAAAUUUGAUUGUUUCACUCCACCAGUUUGUUUUACUACUCGUGGUAAUUGCAUGUUCGAUCCUGCUCAUGCUAAGAUGGAUAAGAUGUGCAUUAAGAAUAGAAAUUCUCAUUCAAAUCGCCGGAAAAGAACAAUACAUAUUGGGAAAUUAUUCAAACCGGAACAAUGAAAAACGUCAUUGGUUGGUUGGCAAGGGAAAUUGUGUUAAAAAUGCAGAGUGCAAGACAAACAAUCAUGUCAUUUAAAAACGGACACUCGCCAAAAUAGAAUGUAACUAAAAACAGAUGGUUUUUCUUGCUAAAAUUUCUGAGUUUUCUUGCAAAAAAGAUUAUCAUAUGAGGAAACACUUAUAUAUACAUGUGACCACGAUGCUUGAUCGAUCUUACUAAAAUCAAUGAGCUCGCAUCACAUUACGGUAAGGGAAAGGAAUCUGUACUCGGGAAAUGAACUAGUGAGUACAGUUCACCAACUCAAGAGUUUGGCAUGUACAUAGUUUAUUCUGGCAAAUGGAGAAGGCCUCCAAGCUAAGGGGAAAAGGAACAAAUAUUCAGAAAGUAUAGGUUGUAUCAUUACAUCAGCAUCAAUCUGCUUGAUAUAGCCCAUAAAAAAUCUAUCAACGGGUAUGAAAAAGGUAGAUGUUCUAUAUUUUCGUAUAUCUUAUACAAGUACGUACAUCUUUUUUCACAUGUUAUCAUCAAUUGUCAUAAUUGAAUUUUUGUUGCGUAAAGUCAAAGAAGUAUCUCAUAUCAGUAUCCUUAAGAGGAAUCUCCCAUUCCCCCAUAGUCCACUUGGGCUACGCGGCCUAGAAAGAAAGAGGCCGGCGAUACCUUGGGCCGAAACCGAACCGCGCUGACACCGAGCUGGGCUUGGCACUGCUCGCUUAUUUUUUCACUCACCUCAUCCCCGUGGGCCAUCUUGCGCUCCUGCCUCGCCGCACGUCGGCCGGUCGCCGUCCCCAGCGGCCCAUAACGCCGUCCGCCGGAGCAUCCUGCUUCUCGUCCCGUGAGUCCGUGACCAGACAUAGCAUUGCGCCGAUGCCACCUGUACUGGUGAUGGGGCUAAACCCUAACUAGCCUCUCGGCUUGUGCGACUAUGCGUCCUCCGCUGCCAGCCGCUCCUCUUCCUCUCCAGCCACCGUCGCUCUCGGCUCGCCGCGCUUCUCCGUAAUCCAGUCGGCGCUAGUGCUUGAAGUCAGUGAAAGGGUGAUCCAGCCGGGACCGGCCAUUUUGCAUUUGACUUCUAGUCCUUGAUGGGCGGUGAAGCCGGUAACCAUUUUUUCUACAUUUAAUUCUCGUGGGAUUAUGUCUGGUCCAAUUCCACUUUCCGCCUAUUUUGCUUCAGAUUUCGAUUAGUUGUAUUAGUUAUUGUAGUGUCCAUUAGCUGAACAUUACUGUCACAGCUACAGUAGCUGAUGAAUUAGAUUAGACACACUAUUGGGAUCAUUUCGAGAAUGAUGGGGUUGUAUUAAGGUUAUACUAGUAUACUAAUGGUAGCAUAGCAUCCGUAAAGCGCAUAGAGUGUAUCUAGAAAAUUUGGAAGUAUAAUCCAUAUUCUACAGAAUAAGGGCCCAUCACCCAUGCAAACAUGGAUGGUGGAUUAAGUUCAGGGGCAGUGUGUUCUUUAUAAUGUUGGCUAUUAUCACCCAUGCAAGCAUGGAUGGUGGAUUAAGUUCAGGGGCAGUGUGAUCUUUAUAAUGUUGGCUAUUGCACAGUUGUUGAUUAUCCUUUCUUUUCAAUACUCAACUAGUUCGAAUACAAUUGCUUGGAGACGGCGACGGGGCGGCUCUCCCCCCUUCGGGUCCAGGCAGACACGGAUGCCCGGUCAAUAGAGAGGACGGCCAUGGCGGCGCAGGCGUGGGCGGCCGGAUCCGGCACUGGCAGGUGUGGAUCCGGUGGUCCCGAGGGUGGAUCCGUUGAAGACUGGGGCGGCAGCCGGCGACAGCCCACCGACGAGGAGGAGGGUGACCACGCCCGGGAUGCCAAGAACGACGCCUCACCGGCGGCGCCGGAGGGGAGCGGGCGGCGGAGCGAGAAGGGAGGGUGGCGUGGGCAGCCGAGGGUGUUGCGGGGAUAGGCCUGGGGGGGCCGGCGUGCUAGGCGGUAGUUCUGCCUCGCUGCCCAGCGGGGGGACCAACGGACCCAGGCGGCGGCGGUUUGCGGCCAUCUAUCAAUGAGCGGCAGCUCACUGCGAACGUCUUCCUCGCGCGCAUCGCCAACAAGCUCAUCCUCUAGGCGCACCCUAGCUGCCGGUGGACUCUCGGUGGGUGGCGGUCGUGCGCGGAUGAAGGCUGGGCAGCCAGCGUGGGCAAUGGAGGAGCGUCGACCGGGAGAGAAGCGUGGCGGUUGGGAGAAGCGCGGCGGCUGGGAGGAGCGCGGUCGGGAAGUGCGCGCAGCCAGGAAGAGCUCAUGCCGCCGCUGGGAGGAGCACGCGGUCGGGAGGAGCGCGCGGCCGAGAGGAGCGUGGUCGAGAGAGAGCGCGUGGUGGUGGGAAGGAGUACGGUGGCCGGAAGGAGCACGGCAAGUGGCCGCAUGGCGUUGGCAGGGAGGUGCAGGUGGUGGAGGAUGCUACGCGUGGGCAGGGAUGGAGGGUGGCGACAAAAAUGGAGGUGAAGGUAUGACGGCAUGGUGAGUGGAGGCGCGGCGGCGGCGGCACCUCGGCUGGGUUACCGUAGUAGUAGUCUGAGAGUGCCAAACCAUAUACGUGCAGCGAGGGGUUGUAUUGCUCCGGGCGGAAGCCCUCACCGGCCUUCAUACUAGUGGACAUGAUGGCGGCAUCCUAGGACGUCGUCUUCCCCGUUGGGGGUGUCAGGUUGGAACUACGACCCUGCUGCACGGGGUUCUCUGGGUGAAAACCCUAUCCAGAUUCUGGAUGAGCGAUGGCUGCUCCAUUGGUGUUGUGCCCUCCUUGGAGGCAUCGUCUCUAAAUAUCCAACUUGGUUCAUGGCAUUGCUAAACCAUUGUCAUGGGAGGUCAUAGCCGAGGGUGGCAACUCCAUUGCGUGGUGAGCUGAAUGGGUGUUGCCGAGCCCAUGUGCAGGCAUUCGAAGUUAUGGUGGCGGCUAGGAGUUAUUGCAUGGUUGUCGUUUGGCUGCUUGCAGCGGACCGCGGCUGCUGACGUUGCUUGGCAGCGAUUAGUCCGAUGUGGGACUGCGUCGGAGGACGGCUCUUGCGGCAACGGCAGCGUGGAACGACUAGGCUUGCAGCGGACCGCAGCGGGUUGCUUAGCUUAGUUGGGCUAUCCGGUGCGGUACAUCGUCGGAAAAUGGCGCAAGCGACUUCUUUGGCUUGCUGACACGGCGGAGAAGGCUAUGUACGAGGGUGAAGCUACGAGGCGCGGUCGACACACUGCGGCAGCUUGGCUGAUCAAUGAAGAUCUUGGGGAGCGGGGCAAUAUCACUGAACACUCUGACAGCGACAAAAGAAACGGAUCCGUGACGUGGAGUACUGCGGCAGGCGUCCAACGGCGGAUGUGGCGAGGCCCCCACGCGUUGUGUUAUCGUGCCGGCGACUGCGAGGCAGCCUGCGAGAGGUCCGGAUUCGGUGCUAUCACCCUGUCAGGUGGAGAGUGAUGUUACAACGGCACUACGGCGGAAGGUCCUGCAUGGUGGUGGCUUUCUCGGUGCGGUGCAGUCUGCUUCUUGAUUCAACGUCGACGCUAGGUUACGCUGGAAGGUUUUGGUGACUUCUAGACCGUGUGUAUGGUGGUACGGGCUGUGGUAAGGCUUCAUUUCUGUUGCUGAGAUGUUGAGAGGAGUGGAGUUCGCCGACGGUUGAUGUCCCAAUCCAAUCGGCUGAUGUAUUGUAGAGUUGAGUUGCGUGUGAGAGCGUGCUGCGGCAUGCGUUGAGGACCUAAUCUAACAUGUCGGUGUUUGCAUCGUUUUUUCCGUUUUUUUCUUUUUCAUGUUGUCGUCCAGUCUGGAUUUCAUCUUCUUUAUUAAUAUAAUCGGCAGCUUCCCUGCCUAGUUCGUUUCAAAAUAAUGGCUCCAACUACACAGCGAACAGCACCUACCAAUCCAACCUAAAGCUUCUCUCCACCACACUCCCCGACAAGGCCUCCUCGUCUCCCUCCCAUCUCUUCGCCACAGACACCGCUGGCAGUGUCCCGGAAGCCGUCUACGCCCUCACACUCUGCCAUGGUGACACCAACGCCUCAGCCUGCGCUGUGUGCGUCGCCAACGCCUUCAAGGAUGCGCAGCAGGUCUGCGCGUUCAAGAAGGACGUGACCUGUGACCAUCUACUACGACCCCUGCUACCUCCGCUUCUCCGACCAGAACUUCCUGAAUCCUGACCUCCAUAGACAACAACCAGUACAUAAAUGCCAACGGGGAGAACGUGACCUCACCUGCGGUGGCGUUUGACACCGCCGUGGGUGUUCUACUCAACGCCUUCGUGGAUUACGCGGUAAACUCUUCGUCACGGUUAGGCACCGGAGUGGAGGAUUUCGAUAAGAGCAACCCCAACAUCUAUGCGCUGGCGCAGUGCACGCCGGACUUGUCGCCCGACGACUGCCGUGCCUGCCUCGAUCAGAUACUGAACGUGCAGAUGAAGUUUUUUAGCGGCAGGCAGGGAGAGAGGAUUCUGGGAUUGCGAUGCAACUACCGGUUUGAACUCUAUCCCCUCUUCUCCGGCAGGCCCCUUCUGCACCUCCCAGCCCCAGCCCCGGGCCCGGCUGUCACACCAUCCGUCGACGAAGGUGAGUUCCAAUUCCAAGAUUUUUACUGAAGAAAAGGAAGGAUUUGAAGUUUAAGAAGUAGAUUUUUUUUCCAAUUUACUCCAGUUGUUGCAGACUGCAGCAAACACGUACUCCCUCCGUCCCAAAUUACUAUUCAUUACGACUCUAGAUUCGUAGCUUUUGCUAUGCACCUAGAUAUAUGCUAUGGUCCUGUUUGGCAAGGGGUGUUAAAGUUUAACACCUCACUUUUAAUACUUUUUAACACUUUCCUAUCUAAACACUUGUGUUAAAAGUGGGGUGUUAAAGUUUAACACCCCAUUUUUCAUAAACACAUGGAGGGGGUGUUAAAACUUGCUAAAGUUGUUAAAAGUGGUCCCCAUCUCCACUUUUUCCCAGGUUACCCCUUCUCUCUCCUCCCUCUCUCUCCGCCGGCCAUAAAUGAGGGGGCAAUGGAGUCAUUUCCCACCAAAGGUGUUAAAGUUUAACACAUCAUCCAAACACCCCAAUAUGUUAAACUUUAGCACUCUAUUUGAGGGUGUUAAAACUUUAACACUUGUUAAAUUUUAACACAGGGUAUCCAAACAGGCCCUAUGUCUAGAUACGUAGCAAAAGUUAUAUAUCUAGAAAAGACAAAACGAAUAGUAAUUUGAAACGGAGGGAGUACUGCACAUAAUGAUUGAUUUGUAUCACCAUAUAUAUGACCAGAUUAGUUACAUACUUAUACUGGUCAGCCAUUAUUGUAAUUUAGAGACACGUGAAACCGUUUCCGGACCCACCCUCAAGCCAGCAGUCGUGUCAGCAACUGAGGUGUCAUUCAUAGAACCUGAGCCAAGAUAAAGAGAGCUUCCUUAGAAUAGAGAAAUCAUGAAGAAUAUUGAAGUUAUAUGGUAGUCUGAGAAUUUCUUGUACUGGAACUUAAGUUGAUUACAAAUUAAAGUAUCUUGAAUAAUUACUGUUCUGUAUAAUAAUUAUAUAUAUUAGCAGGCUAGUAAUUUAGGAGAUAUCAUUGUUAGAAAUUCGUGAAUAAAUUUUGGACCAGCGACAAAUCAAAAUUAUUUAUCUAAUGUAAUACAAUUUUACUACCAAUUACGUACUCAUUAUGAUUUCCGUCCCUCUUUAUUGUCGUUUUUCCUUUUGAAUCACAUGUCCAGAUAUGUUUGGUUAAAACGUUAGCUUGGACUGUAUGUUUGACAUGAAAAUAGACAUGUUCAUCGCUUUCUGCAUAUAUAUACGCGGUCUGCAUAUUAUCGCACAUCAUGCAUGUAUACCUCGUACUUAGAGCACCCGCAGUGUGCCAAAAAGUCGAUGCCCGGUUAGGAAAGAGAAGGAUGGGGCAUCCAAAUACACACUACAUGGGGCGAUGCUUCAACAGAAAAACCAGGUGAAUGUUGUUUCCUCGAUGCUUCAUUCGUUAAAAAUAAUUUCGUGAACGCAGUUACGCAGGUGAAGCAUGGGCCACCACUGUUCAGGGUCAUCUCGUACUGCUGAAGCAGCGUUUCUCGCUUUUAUUUAUUCACCGCAUGGGUUCCACACCAGUGCUCUCACGCUGCAGCCUUUGGAGAUCGAGGCCCAAUUCCCUGUCGUGCAGUCAAUUUGUUGUGGGCAUCGACGCCCACGCUGUGGGUGCUCUUAGGGGGCUGUUUGGAUUUUGCCCAGGCCGUCUUUCUAUCGGCGAGCCAAUUAUUUGGCAACAAGUAGCGUCAAACCAAACGUAUUGAGAUUUUUCAGUCAACUUCCGAAACAUUGGUAGGGUCAAUAUUGGCAUCAAACCAAACGUCCUCUUAGAAACGGCACUUGGGUAGAGAGAUAUAGCUAGGAUAGAGGGACAACAUAGAAGAGCGACCAUGCUAUGGAGGUAGGCUAAAUUUGUGGACUCGAUAUCAAGGAAAAAUAGAUAGCCUAUUUAUGUGUGCUUCUCGUUUCACUUUAUGCAAUGUUUUCUUACUCUGAAUUUACUAAAUUAUGUAAUCGUUUGGAUCUAGUUAUAAAUGGGACCGUGCUUACUCCCAAAAAUAUAUUUAAAAAAUAAGAGUGAAGCACAUCAUAUAUCUCAAACUUGUAACGUCAUGUCGUCUCGAUCCCCAAACUUGCAAAAUGCACAAUCAAAUCUCCAAACAUGAUAAUUGUACCAUAUGAUUAUCUAGCUUGAGUUAAACCGUCUGCACAGCAUGCUAACUGCGCAAUGAUAUAGACCUAAGACCUGACAUGUGGGGCUGGCCCCAUCUCUCUCAUUCAUUCUUUACUCCUGCUCAAAUCUCAUCUAUCACCUUCCCCACUAGGCCGGCUAACGGGGCAGGUGGAAAUGGGGAUUUCGGAGCGGAGUCUGAGAUGCGGCUUACUGGGAUGGGUCUGAAUGGGUCGUAGUUGCUUGCAGGGCGGGGCGGGUUUACUGCAAAGGUGGGUUGGGCGCGGGUUGGAUUAGUUUAUUUCAGAGGAAAGCCGCAUCUCUUUGCUCGCGCAGCAAGACGGCCUACCGCUGCCGCCGGCCCCAGCCACUACCGUUGCCACCUCUCCCGCGAAAAAAGGUCAUGCGCAUCCUUAGCUGCCCUCCACCAUCUCCUCCUCCACAUCAUCCUGUUCCCCUUCUCCUCAUCCCCCUUUCCCUUCUUGCUAGGGAUUGACUUGGCUAUUAGCUGCUCCAGCGCCGGCCUCGAGUCCUAUGACGGUGGCCUCGCUAGUCUGCGGGAGAAGGUUCUUGAUCUGUGCGGCUCGCCAAGGAGGUCCAGAUUAACGGUAGCCCGUGAGCAGCUCCGUAUUGCCUGGUCCAUCGGUGAGUGUUCCUAAUACACAGGGAUUCUUUAAAUUUAGAUUCACUGGCACCAAGUGUUUGUUUUGGAGUCAGGAUAAUUGGACAAAUCCACAGCUAAAUUUCUAAUUAAUCUGAGUCUGGAAGCAAUUCAAAGAAGAUAUGUUUCCUAUCAAAUUUCGCAAGUACCCUUAUCCUAUAAUGUGUUAAAGAGCAGAAGGGCCUCAUUCUCCGUAGACUGAGAAGCAUCAUGGGUGCUGUAGUUGCAUGAUCAUCAGUAUUAGGCUGUUAACAGGCCCACUUAUUUCGUUGACUGUGCAGCCAUAUUUCUCCAAUUCUUUCACUCAAGUUGGCAAGUAUAGCAUGCCACACUUGUUUAUACACACAAUGGAAUGCAAACUGGAACAUGAUUUUCUGCAGCAGUCACAUAUGUUUUGGUUAUGCGCUUGGGAGAUCUGACACGCCAUCCUUUAACUGUAGUCAAUUCCAGUGGCAACCUAGCUAAAUUUUGUAGUCACUGAAAAUUGAAGCCAAUGGAUUUUUUAUGAUUUUUCAUCUGCUUGCAAUUGGCUGUGUCUCUUGCUCUCAAUGAACCGGUGCUGGACAAAAAAUGAUUUCUCACCUGUUACUGGAUUGAUUAUUGCGGUUAGGUCAGAUUGUCGUUGUUCGUGUUUUAGAAUCCAUAUCUACUGCAGUAGUGCACUGACAUGGUGUCUCAGUUCCAUUUCUGAAUCUUUUUGUAUAUUUCAAUCAUCUCUGAAAAUUUCAGUCAGCAAUGUUACUAGGUCAGUAUAUAAUGUGCUGCAGUAUGUUAUUUCUCAAGCUUUUCCAGUAUGAUGUAGUUUGUUCUUUCUCAGAUUUAUGUCAGUUCUUAGUUCUUUUGAACAAUAUGCUAUGUGUACCUGAAAAUUGGAGUUUGCUGCAUCUGUGCAUCUAAAAAAUAAAGAGAAAUAUGAAUGUGUGAUUGAGUAGCAUGCCAUGAGGAAAGUAGAGAAUCUGUGAGCCCUGUGUGUGCUUGGCGUAGUGUAAACAAAUUUAGUUGCUUGUAGUUAACUACAAGUGUUCUUAUCUGGUUUUGCAGUCAACCCAAUACUUAGUUUUGGGUAUUUUUGCUUUUGCCUCUCUGAUUAACUUUUGGAGGUUGGUGUCCUUUAUCGAAUAUGAUUUCUCCUUGUUCUUGAGCAUCUGUACUGGUUAUAGUCUGAUGAACUAAUCUGUAUAGUCUGAUGAACUAAUCAUGUAGCUAGGAUCAGCUUCUGCAGCUAAAAAGGUACCUGUCAAAAAGCAUGCCCAGGCUUGAUAAUAAUUGUAUUCUUAUUUCGUUCUUAAUGCUAAAAAACUGCAGCUUCCCAGUUAACGCUGGCUUAGUCAUGGUUGUGAACUUGUGAUAACGAUUUCAUUCUUAAUGCUAUCAGGAGGGGAGAAUUCUCAGCUUUUCGCUCUACGGAGAAAACAACCAUUCUCAGCUUCGAGCUCCAGAAGUGACACAUCCUGGUUACCAAAGGUUCUUUUGUCAAGAUGGAUGGGUGUGCGUAUAAUUUUUUUUUUUUUUGAAACGAGCAGGCAGGAGAGCUACCACUUUAUUAAUAAAGGGGAAUGCCCGAAAGGUGAAACAGACUAGAAAACUUUACAUGCUGCACACUGCAAGCUUAGCUCGCGGACUGAAGAGAUAAAAGGAACAGACACCCCUAUAUACACUCAACUGCGCCUUGCGGCGUCAAGAAACCGCUCUAGGUGCAUAGCACCUGCCGCCACCCACGUGGUUGCCUCGUCCCUUAUUCGAGCCACUAAGCGGGGGAUGGAUUGUUCCUGAUGAUGGAAAACCCGCGCAUUACGCUCUUUCCAAACCUCCCACAGGACUAAGAUGAUGAGAGAUCUCAAGCCUUUUUUGUCAGCGACCUGCGCGCCUGCUAAUGCCGUCCACCAGUCAUGCAGAGUGUCAUGUGGAGUCCAGCAUUCCGGGUCAAUGGCCGGGCACCUCGUCCACGCGCUUAGUUGAGCCCAGACGUUCCUUGUGUAAUUGCAUGCGGUGAACAUGUGUAGCCCCGUUUCUUGAGUUGCUUCACAGAGAGCACAAUUUGGGUUGCUCGGCCAUCCCCGACGUUGCAACCGGUCCGCUGUCCAAAUUCUGUCCUGAAUCGUCAGCCAGCUGAAGAACUUACACUUUGGGGGCGCCCACGGCUUCCAGAUGAUGGCUUCGAAGUUGGUGUUUGUGGACCCGAAGAACUGCGCUCGGUAUGCUGAAUUCGUGUUAUAGUGACCGUCGGCCGUCAGUUUCCAUCGAAUGGUGUCCGGGACCCCUAGUCGAAGUUGCGGUGUGCGUAUAAUUUGGAUGAUAAAUUCUUGCCAUGAUCAUCUUGACUGGUUGUAUAAUUCGCAACUCUAAUUCGUACAGAAAGUUUAUGCUAUGAGGUAGGAACAUGUAUUUAUUAUGUUUAGCUACAAGCAAAGUGAGCAACGCUCAGUUGAGAUGCACAACUUGAAGGCAUUCUUCGGUUUAACCUACUGCUACGUGCUUUGGUUACACCCACGCUAAAUGGAGCGGGACGGAGUGGGUUUGUAAUUGACUCCCAUAAAUUUCGGGGCAAGGUAACAGCGCCCAUUAGCAGGCCUAUAAUCCCCACCACCUCACAUGCCGUGGUGUCGACGCGAACUAGGUCGCAUCCCCCUCCUCUCGCCUUUGCUUUUAAAUUCCCAUCGAGUUUUAGGGAGUAUAUAUGCUGAGCUGCUUUUUAUUUCAUGGAUCAAACCAUUUACAUCGAUGCAAUUUUUUACAUGUCAUAGAUAUCAUCCUUCACACAGUGAGGCAGGCACUGUGGCGACUUUAAAACUUGUACGGGACUUCAAUUCCACCAGUACGUGCUCCAACGUACUAAUCAACCCGUAGUUCAACAUAUUGCGGAUGGUCAACUCCAACAGGACCGUGGAGCGCAGAGCAGCUAUAUAGAAUGGGUUACUUGUGAACCAAUCGAAAUGUCUUGCAGUUGGCAGAUGUCGACUCCUCAACGAACGUUACUGAAACAGUCAGCGGUCAGACAAUCACGCUAGGGGCUAGGGCCUAGGGGGCUUACUGUAUACUAGUUAAUCCCCUACACGCUAUUCAGUAUUCAGCCGCUGUCCUAUCACCAUGGCUUGCGCUCGCGCCAUCACCCUCUUCGCGCUCACGCUCCUCCCAGCGGUGCCAUUGACCACGGCCGCCGCCGCCCCCGGCACUGAGUACCGCCGCCCGGCCCCCUCGCCCGGCCACAAGUGCGGGGCGCAGGGCACGUACGCUCCCGGCAGCGCCUACGAAGCCAACCUGCGGCUUCUUGCGGCCGCCAUCCCUGCCGAAGCAAAUGCGUCCGGCUGCAGGUGCUCUCCCGGCAACCACGCCGGCGAACGCCCCGACAACGUCGCCGCUUCGGCCUACUGCUACUGGCGUCCGGACGCCGGCUGGCCAUCGGACUGCGCCGCCUGCAUCGCGCGGGCCUUCGAGGAGGCGCAGCGGCUGUGCCCAUACCACAGGCAGGCCAUGGUCGUGGUUGACGGCGGCGAGUGCAGCGUCAGCUUCCACGACGUCCAGCAGAGGGAGCAGAGCAUGGGCCUUGGCAGCGCCGGGGGUAAGUGAUCUUUCUCCCUCGCAAUACAAGCCCCCAUUAGGUCCUUGCUGUUCAAAUGUGAAUGGGCAGAUAGCAGCAACUCCUGAUAAUUGGGAUGGUAGACAUCUUACAUAUUCCUAGUAUAGUGUAUGUGUUGUGAGGUUGAUGCAAUAAUGGAAUAAUAAUAUAGUUUAAUUUGCUCAUACCAUCCAGUGAGGUAGAACUUGAACAAAUCCAUCACGGUAGAACAAAAAAGUGGAUGAUGCAUGUUAUUACUUGUUUAUCCUGUGGUGGACGAGAGAUGGACACUUACAAAUGAUAUAUGUUUUCAGAAUCUGUAGCCGCAGAUGGGGAUCAUGCAUCAUAUCUUGACUUGCUCCAAUACAUGAAUAAGGAACUGGCACGCUAUAUGUCGGAGGACGAACUGAUGGAGUUCAAGAACUUUACAGAGCGUGCUACUCAAGCUUCGAAGUCACCAGAAUGUCUCACUAUGCAAAGGAUCUAUCUAUGACAAUUAUGGUUUCAGUUGCUGCUCUCAAUUUGCAAUCAUGUAAACGGUUUGGUCCAUGUAAUAAGAUGCGACUAUGCAAAUUCACAAAAUCCGUCGAUGUAAUAUGUAUUUUUUGGUAUGUAAAAGUUCACAAUUUGACUCUUGAUUUGUUCGAGUCCUCAACUAAGUAUUUUAGGGAAAAUUAGUUAUGUAACACUGAAAGAUCACCACUUUCGAAAAAUACCAUUGAAAGAGCACGCCCCUGUAAAAUACCACCGAAAGUUACAAACGAGUUAACCGGAACUACCUUAGAUUUUUGAAAUACCCCCAAACCGUGCAUCUUCCACCUCUGGUCGGCAGCGGCGCUUAUGCUUGACGUCGGGCUGAAGGGGGGACUGCGGACGCCGGCCUGGGCACUCCGGGCUGGAGGGCGCCGGAUACUAGCGGCCUAGCGGGUAGCCGCAGCCAGCAGGUCAGCACCAUCGAUCGCAUAGCAAUUGUUUGCUGCAAGCUUGCAGCUACAAAGCUGAUGCAUCCACAUCCCCUCGCAUGCAAAUUGAUUGAAGUCAGGAGCUCCCGUCUCUUUUCUCCUCCCCUUGUUCUGAGCUUCUGAUGCUUCACUGCGCGAUGGCAGCCACACAGUGGCACAGUGCCUUGCAAUCAUCAAAGAUGAUGCAAUUUUGGGAGGAUUGGGUAAGGGUUAGUUAAUUGUAGAAAAUCGAGCAGGUCUUUAGCGAUCCGGAAUUCCCGAUAGGCGAUCGAUAAUGGAAUACUGUGGACACGCAUUCAAGCCUGGGGACGCGACCUGGAGGGGCACCGGCCUGGGGAGGAUCGCAAAGGGGGGCCGCCGGCCGCCUCGCCGUUGGAGGCCGGGAAGGGAGGAGCCGUCGCGUGGUUGCCUGGUUGGGCGGACGGGCGCCGUCAAGAGGAGCGUGGAUAAGGGAAGGCCGGGCCGGGGCUCCCUGCGAUUUUUGUUGGCCUUGAGCUCAGGGGUAUAAGCGUCAAUUCAUAUCAUGUUACCUGGCUAAACGAAAAGGAAAAUAGGUUUUCGGUGAAUAAAAGUAGUUUUAGGCCCCGUUUGGUAGGGCUUCUCAAAGUGCUUCUCCACCGGCUUUUGAUGAAGCCCUACCAAAGGGUCAAUUUCAAAACGGCUUCACCACCAAAGCCGAGGAGAAGCCGCAAAACGGCUUACACUAGAGAGGAGAAGCCGAAAAAAGUAGCUUCACCGGCUUCUCCUCUCUCUCCAAGCAUUAAGUGAUCAUAAAAUUACAUAUAUUGCCAUUGAGAAGCCGUUUUACCAAACGUUUUGCAAAACGGCUUUAGCUUCACUAAAAAAGCCACUCCACCGAAGAAGCCGAAGCCGAAGCCGUUUUAUGAGAAGCCGAAGCUCUACCAAACGGGGCCUUAGUUAACGUUUGUAAGUUUCGGUGGUAUUUUACAAGGACGAAUUUUUUCAGUGGUAUUUUUCAGAAGUCCUGAUGAAACCAGUUUUCCUUUUAUUUUAGAAAUUAACGGGCGUUAUUUGUUUAGUGAUAGUGAUAGGUGACGUGUGUUGACAAUUAUACACAACACAAUGACACGUGUUUAUCAAAUGAUCUCUUGAAAAUGCUCCUGGAGAAGGAAGUAAGGGAAGGAAGUGUGUGUUAAUUUGGUGCGGUUGGCCAAUGUUGACUCGUCAUCAAACACUUUAGUAGUCAACGGUCAACAACCACUCCCUGAUCUCAUCUAGUCCACCGUACUUUGUUUAAUCGCCCGGAUUAGAGCACAAUUCAUCCCUUCAUCAAACAAAAGCGUUCGUCUUCCUCCGGCCAUGCGUCUAGCCGCGGCGCUCGUCGCGCUCGCGGCGGUCCUCCCGGCGCUGGCCGCCGCCACCGUCGUUGACCGCCGCCUGGUCCUCACGCCCGGUCACAUGUGCGGCACGCAGGGCAGGUACGCUCCCGGCAGCGCCUACGAGGCCACAACCUCCGGCGCCUCGCCGCCACCGUUGCCGCCGAGGUAAACGCGAACUCCUGCAACUGCUCCAUUGGCAGCGUCGCCGGCCGCCGCCACGACCAGGUCACAGCGUCGGCCUACUGCUACUGGCGGCCAGGCGCGAGGUCCAAGGACUGCGGCGCCUGCGUCGCGCUGGCCUUCCGGGAGGCGCAGCGGUUGUGCCCGUACCACAGGCAGGCCGUGGUCGUGGUCGACGGCGGCGCGUGCAGCGUCAGCUUCCUCGACGUGCAGCGAAGGGAGCAAGGUCCGCCACGGCGACGCCACUUGCAUCAUCCACUCCGGGUGUAAGCGACGUUUCUAUAAAUCCCAUUCGAUCCAGAUCCGAUGAGCAGAACGAUUAGUGAAAUUUGCCACCAAAUAACUCAAAUGAAUGCAGAUACAUAGUGUUACUGUGUACAGUGUACUGCGUUCAAAAUUUUAAAUUUGCUGCAUCGACACCAGAAAUUUCGAAUUAAAUGUUGACAUCCAUGUCCACAAUGAUUUUGCUGAAAGGGAACUCGAAUUCGGGUCAGAUUCCGGCAAUUAUGUGCGUUGGCAAGUAACACUACUUUGUGCAGAGUGCAGACAUCCCUGAAUCUUAUUACUGUUCAUCUUACUGCCUCAGUGAUCCCAAACAAUUAAUGUCGCCUUCAGAUGCGUGGUUUUGUUGUUGGAUCAGCUACGGUUGGAGCCUUCUGAACCCAGAUGUCCUCCUGAUAUUGCUGUUUCAAGCAGCUGGGCUCGGUUGUGUUGUGUUCAAGUUCCUCCAGGAAUCGCGCACCAGAAGUAGAGACCCUGCAAUCGACAGGUAUCGCGCCUGCUGAUAUCAUUUUGGUUUAGUCCUUCCUAGGUUGCUGCAGUAUAAUUACCUUGAUAAAAAUUGUUGGCUAACAUGUAUUUGCAGCAACGAUUACCUUCCUGUCAUUGGAGAUCAGUAGCUGGUGAAAUUUGGUGAUGACCGACGCUCGGUCAACAUGCUCCAAUUUCUCGCUUGCCAUAGCCAAUGGGUUACUUAGUUGCUCUUUGAUUCAAACAGUGGUGAUUGAUCGUCCCGGUGGACAAACCAAUACCUGAAGAUACAUCUAUGUAUGAUAUUGCCAAGACCAUGUACAUCCAAAAAAAUAUAAGGUUCAGAGAGAAGCAUGUGCCAAAGGAAGAACAUUUUAUUUCGAUUACCCUACCAAUCAAACCUUACAAGUUAGAUUAAUGAAGUAUUGACCGUAAUUAUUUUAAGAAACUGGCCUGGAUAUUUAUAUUGAUACCCUAAGUUGUUGCGGUACAUGAUUUGUGAAAAAAAAAAUAUGUAGUCUAAGAAUCAUGUACAAUUAUUGAGCAUGUUGUUGAGGAAAAAAUACUAUACGGCUACGUAUAACCUUAUA